RNAcentral lists this ribosomal RNA (271 nucleotides) under uncultured archaeon. RNAcentral describes it as "partial 16S ribosomal RNA". It matches the Rfam family "Archaeal small subunit ribosomal RNA", at positions 477 to 747 of the family's 1478-position model. The record is from RNAcentral.
CAGCGCCACGAGUGGGAACUACAAUUAUUGGGCCUAAAGCGUCCGUAGCCGGUUUAGUAAAUUUCUUGUGAAAUUGUUGAGCUUAACUUAACAACGUGCAGGAAAGACUGCUAAACUUGGGACUGGGAGGGGUUAGAAGAAUUUUUGGGGUAGCGGUAAAAUGUUAUAAUCCCAAAGAGACUACCUAUGGCGAAAGCAUCUAACCAGAACAGGUCCGACGGUGAGGGACGAAAGCUAGGGGAGCAAAACGGAUUAGAUACCCGCGUAGUCC